This 821-nucleotide ribosomal RNA is filed under the name uncultured bacterium. RNAcentral's name for it is "bacterial SSU rRNA". It matches the Rfam family "Bacterial small subunit ribosomal RNA", at positions 58 to 876 of the family's 1533-position model. The record is from RNAcentral.
CAAGUCGAACGGAGAUUACAGGCGGAAGUUUUCGGAUGGAAGCUUGUAAACUUAGUGGCGGACGGGUGAGUAACACGUGAGCAACCUGCCUAUCAGAGGGGGAUAACGAUUGGAAACGAUCGCUAAUACCGCAUGACAUAGCGGAACCGCAUGGUUCUGUUAUCAAAGAUUUUAUCGCUGAUAGAUGGGCUCGCGUCCGAUUAGAUAGUUGGUGGGGUAACGGCCUACCAAGUCGACGAUCGGUAGCCGGACUGAGAGGUCGAACGGCCACAUUGGGACUGAGACACGGCCCAGACUCCUACGGGAGGCAGCAGUGGGGGAUAUUGCACAAUGGGGGAAACCCUGAUGCAGCGACGCCGCGUGAGGGAAGACGGUCCUCUGGAUUGUAAACCUCUGUCUUCGGGGACGAAACGAGACGGUACCCGAGGAGGAAGCCACGGCUAACUACGUGCCAGCAGCCGCGGUAAUACGUAGGUGGCAAGCGUUGUCCGGAAUUACUGGGUGUAAAGGGAGCGUAGGCGGGCAGGCAAGUCAGGCGUGAAAUAUAUCGGCUCAACCGGUAACGGCGCUUGAAACUGCAGGUCUUGAGUGAAGUAGAGGUUGGCGGAAUUCCUAGUGUAGCGGUGAAAUGCGUAGAUAUUAGGAGGAACACCAGUGGCGAAGGCGGCCAACUGGGCUUUUACUGACGCUGAGGCUCGAAAGUGUGGGGAGCAAACAGGAUUAGAUACCCUGGUAGUCCACACCGUAAACGAUGAUUACUAGGGUGUGGGGGGGACUGACCCCUUCCGUGCCGGAGUUAACACAAUAAGUAAUCCACCUGG